GUUGACCUCGAAUCAGGUAGGAAUACCCGCUGAACUUAAGCAUAU
This 45-nucleotide ribosomal RNA is filed under the name Fusarium solani. Its description in RNAcentral is "partial 28S ribosomal RNA". Lineage: Eukaryota; Fungi; Ascomycota; Sordariomycetes; Hypocreales; Nectriaceae. RNAcentral also lists the same sequence under 2 other names. The record is from RNAcentral.